Molecule: ribosomal RNA, 439 nt
Filed under: uncultured bacterium
Lineage: Bacteria
Description: partial 16S ribosomal RNA
Rfam family: Bacterial small subunit ribosomal RNA
Source: RNAcentral
CCUACGGGAGGCAGCAGUGGGGGAUAUUGCACAAUGGAGGAAACUCUGAUGCAGCGACGCCGCGUGAGGGAAGACGGUCUUCGGAUUGUAAACCUCUGUCUUUGGGGAAGAAAAUGACGGUACCCAAAGAGGAAGCUCCGGCUAACUACGUGCCAGCAGCCGCGGUAAUACGUAGGGAGCGAGCGUUGUCCGGAAUUACUGGGUGUAAAGGGAGCGCAGGCGGAGGCACAAGUCAGCGGUAAAAUCGCGGGGCUCAACCCCGCUCCGCCGUUGAAACUGUGUCCCUUGAGUGCGCGAAGGGUAGGCGGAAUGCGUGGUGUAGCGGUGAAAUGCAUAGAUAUCACGCAGAACUCCGAUCGCGAAGGCAGCCUACCGGCGCGCAACUGACGCUCAUGCACGAAAGCGUGGGUAUCGAACAGGAUUAGAUACCCCAGUAGUC